Molecule: ribosomal RNA, 464 nt
Filed under: uncultured bacterium
Lineage: Bacteria
Description: bacterial SSU rRNA
Rfam family: Bacterial small subunit ribosomal RNA
Source: RNAcentral
GCCAGACUCCUACGGGAGGCAGCAGUGAGGAAUAUUGGUCAAUGGGCGGGAGCCUGAACCAGCCAAGCCGCGUGAGGGAAGAAGGUACAGCGUAUCGUAAACCUCUUUUGUCAGGGAACAAAGGCGGGGACUAGUCCCCGGAUGAGGGUACCUGAAGAAAAAGCAUCGGCUAACUCCGUGCCAGCAGCCGCGGUAAUACGGAGGAUGCGAGCGUUAUCCGGAUUUAUUGGGUUUAAAGGGUGCGUAGGCGGAGUGUCAAGUCAGCGGUAAAAUUUCGGGGCUCAACCCCGUCGUGCCGUUGAAACUGACGCCCUUGAGUGAGUGAGAAGUAAGCGGAAUGCGUGGUGUAGCGGUGAAAUGCAUAGAUAUCACGAAGAACUCCGAUUGCGAAGGCAGCUUACUAAACUGCCACUGACAUUGAUGCUCGAAAGUGUGGGUAUCAAACAGGAUUAGAUACCCGAGUA